UAGGGAAUCUUCCACAAUGGACGCAAGUCUGAUGGAGCAACGCCGCGUGAGUGAAGAAGGCUUUCGGGUCGUAAAACUCUGUUAUUGAAGAAGAACGUGUGUGACAGUAACUGGUCAUGCAGUGACGGUAUUCAAUCAGAAAGUCACGGCUAACUACGUGCCAGCAGCCGCGGUAAUACGUAGGUGGCAAGCGUUGUCCGGAUUUAUUGGGCGUAAAGCGAGUGCAGGCGGUCUUUUAAGUCUGAUGUGAAAGCCUUCGGCUUAACCGAAGAAGGGCAUCGGAAACUGGGAGACUUGAGUGCAGAAGAGGAGAGUGGAACUCCAUGUGUAGCGGUGAAAUGCGUAGAUAUAUGGAAGAACACCAGUGGCGAAGGCGGCUCUCUGGUCUGUAACUGACGCUGAGGCUCGAAAGCGUGGGUAGCAAACAGGAUUAGAUACC
Molecule: ribosomal RNA, 439 nt
Filed under: uncultured bacterium
Lineage: Bacteria
Description: partial 16S ribosomal RNA
Rfam family: Bacterial small subunit ribosomal RNA
Source: RNAcentral